Molecule: ribosomal RNA, 495 nt
Filed under: uncultured bacterium
Lineage: Bacteria
Description: partial 16S ribosomal RNA
Rfam family: Bacterial small subunit ribosomal RNA
Source: RNAcentral
GACGAACGCUGGCGGCGUGCCUAAUACAUGCAAGUAGAACGCUGAAGGAGGAGCUUGCUCUUCUGGAUGAGUUGCGAACGGGUGAGUAACGCGUAGGGAACCUGCCUGGUAGCGGGGGGGAACAAUUGGAAACGAUAGCUAAUACCGCAUAAGAGUAGAUGUUGCAUGACAUUUGCUUAAAAGGUGCAAUUUCAUCACUACCAGAUGGACCUGCGUUGUAUUAGCUAGUUGGUGGGGUAACGGCUCACCAAGGCGACGAUACAUAGCCGACCUGAGAGGGGGAUCGGCCACCAUGGGACUGAGACACGGCCCCGAACCCUACGGGAGGGAGCAGUAGGGAAUCUUUGGCAAUGGACGGAAGUCUGAACGGGCCACGCCGCGUGAGUGAAGAAGGUUUUCGGAUCGUAAAGAUCUGUUGUAAGAGAAGAAAGAGUGUGAGAGUGGAAAGUUCACACUGUGACGGUACCUUACCAGAAAGGGACGGCUAACUACGUG